AAACUUUCAACAACGGAUCUCUUGGUUCUGGCAUCGAUGAAGAACGCAGCGAAAUGCGAUAAGUAAUGUGAAUUGCAGAAUUUAGUGAAUCAUCGAAUCUUUGAACGCACAUUGCGCCCCUUGGUAUUCCGGGGGGCAUGCCUGUUCGAGCGUCAUU
RNAcentral lists this ribosomal RNA (157 nucleotides) under Cladonia subconistea. RNAcentral's name for it is "5.8S ribosomal RNA". It matches the Rfam family "5.8S ribosomal RNA". Rfam says of the family: 5.8S ribosomal RNA (5.8S rRNA) is a component of the large subunit of the eukaryotic ribosome. Lineage: Eukaryota; Fungi; Ascomycota; Lecanoromycetes; Lecanorales; Cladoniaceae. The record is from RNAcentral.